This 253-nucleotide ribosomal RNA is filed under the name uncultured bacterium. Its description in RNAcentral is "partial 16S ribosomal RNA". It matches the Rfam family "Bacterial small subunit ribosomal RNA", at positions 524 to 776 of the family's 1533-position model. The record is from RNAcentral.
UACGUAGGGGGCAAGCGUUGUCCGGAAUCAUUGGGCGUAAAGAGCGUGUAGGCGGCCCGAUAAGCCCGCCGUGAAAGUCCAGGGCUCAACCCUGGAAUGCCGGUGGAAACUGUCGGGCUGGAGUCCGGAAGAGGCGAGUGGAAUUCCUGGUGUAGCGGUGAAAUGCGCAGAUAUCAGGAGGAACACCAAUGGCGAAGGCAGCUCGCUGGGACGGUACUGACGCUGAGACGCGAAAGCGUGGGGAGCAAACAGG